This 580-nucleotide ribosomal RNA is filed under the name Hanseniaspora uvarum. RNAcentral's name for it is "partial large subunit ribosomal RNA". It matches the Rfam family "Eukaryotic large subunit ribosomal RNA", at positions 70 to 664 of the family's 3401-position model. The record is from RNAcentral. Lineage: Eukaryota; Fungi; Ascomycota; Saccharomycetes; Saccharomycodales; Saccharomycodaceae.
GGGUAUUAGUACGGCGAGUGAAGCGGUAAAAGCUCAAAUUUGAAAUCUGGUACUUUCAGUGCCCGAGUUGUAAUUUGUAGAAUUUGUCUUUGAUUAGGUCCUUGUCUAUGUUCCUUGGAACAGGACGUCAUAGAGGGUGAGAAUCCCGUUUGGCGAGGAUACCUUUUCUCUGUAAGACUUUUUCGAAGAGUCGAGUUGUUUGGGAAUGCAGCUCAAAGUGGGUGGUAAAUUCCAUCUAAAGCUAAAUAUUGGCGAGAGACCGAUAGCGAACAAGUACAGUGAUGGAAAGAUGAAAAGAACUUUGAAAAGAGAGUGAAAAAGUACGUGAAAUUGUUGAAAGGGAAGGGCAUUUGAUCAGACAUGGUGUUUUUUGCAUGCACUCGCCUCUCGUGGGCUUGGGCCUCUCAAAAAUUUCACUGGGCCAACAUCAAUUCUGGCAGCAGGAUAAAUCAUUAAGAAUGUAGCUACUUCGGUAGUGUUAUAGCUUUUUGGAAUACUGUUAGCCGGGAUUGAGGACUGCGCUUCGGCAAGGAUGUUGGCAUAAUGGUUAAAUGCCGCCCGUCUUAGAAAAACAACAAAC